Molecule: ribosomal RNA, 464 nt
Filed under: Astrodendrum sp. NSMT:E-6273
Lineage: Eukaryota; Metazoa; Echinodermata; Ophiuroidea; Euryalida; Gorgonocephalidae
Description: partial 16S ribosomal RNA
Rfam family: Bacterial large subunit ribosomal RNA
Source: RNAcentral
UGCCUGCCCGGUGAUAUAAAAUUAAACGGCUGCGGUACUCUGACCGUGCAAAGGUAGCAUAAUCAUUAGCCUGUUAAUUUCAGGCUGGAAUCAACGGCAAGACGAAGAAAAGACUGUCUCUUUCUAUUAUUUUAGAAUUUUUCUUUUUGGUGAAGAGGCCAAAAUAGAUGAGUGGGACGAGAAGACCCUAUUGAGUUUUAAUUAUUUAAAUAAGUAAAUUUUUUAAAAUAAUUUUGGUUGGGGCAACUACUUAUAUAAUUAUACAUAGGUAAGACGAAGGUGAAUUAAAUCUAAAAAAGGAAUCCAAAAGUUUUUGAAAUUAAAAAAAAUUACCUUAGGGGUAACAGCGUAAUUCUUUUUGAGAGUACAUAUUGACAAAAGAGUUUGCGACCUCGAUGUUGGAUCAAGUUUUCCUGAAGGUGCAGUAGCUUUCAAAGGUUGGUUUGUUCAACCAUAAAAAUCUU